UACAUUUUUUAAAGUAAUUAUUUCGACGGUAUAUUAAACCUACAGAUAUUUGAUUCUACAUAUUUCUUUUUCAUUUUAUAUAAUUUAUUUUAUGCAAAAAUUUCUAAAAUAUAAUGAUGAUUUUCUUUCGGGGCUGAGCAUAAUGACGAAGCUUCAAAAAUCCAACGUGUACACUUUCACUGAGAAAAACAAAGAUUCAUAUUUAUUCAAGUUUAGUACGUUCAAAUGGUAAUUGCACUUUUUUUUUAGGACGUUAGAAGCUGCUAUGUUAGGAGGUGGAAUUGUUUUGGUGACAUAUCGUACUUUAAAAGUGUUUGGCUCAAAAUACUAAAAUUAUCAAUAUUGUUGGGUCCUAAAAUACAAUUUGAAAUUCCCCGAGCUUUUUCCGUUCAUGUGACCGGCUACUCGAAAGAUGGGACUUGACAGUGUCGUCAGGAAAAGCAGCCUUUUUUGUUGAGAGCAUUCGGAUUGUAAAAGGUGAAAAGAAAGAAUUAAAUUACCGGCAAUAAAAAAAAAUUAUUUAACAAAACGUGUAAGCAAUGAACAACUUAAACUUGAUGGACGGAAUCAAACAAUUUUUGCAUAUAUUGUUUGAGCCUGAGGAUCUUCUUUCGAUAUCCUGCCUACAUCCGAGUAACUCGGUCUACUGAAUGCGAUUUCAGUCAGUCUAACGAUCGGAGUGGAUUCACGUUAUUAUCCCGGAAAUUCAUUAUAAAUCUUUGUCUUUGUCUACUAAUUUGAACCUUUAAACUCGCAGAUUUGGUUUGUUUCAUCUAACGAAAAUGGCGGUUAUACCUUCAAAGAGGUAAAAAUGUAAGAGAAAGAAAGAAAAAUAAAGUUGUUAAAGAGUAGAAAAAUUUACUUUCGAACCGCUAAACGACCCCCUGGUUUACUUAUGAAUAAACGUAUGGGUGGAGGUAGAUCUGAGGAAAGGGUGUGUUGUGAACGUCCGUGCUAGCUACUUCUCCCUGCGCUGACCUCCUACAGUGAAGGUGAAAGUUUGAGACGCGUGUCUAGAGAACGUCCUUCGAGUUUCCAAAAAAUGUUAAACGUCAACCUGGUUUGUGAUCUCUGCACUGAUCUUCCUUCAGGUUGGUUGUUUUAUGUAUAUGUUUAGAGUUGAGGGGCCAGGUUAGUUCUUUCGGUUGCGAGAAAGGUGGUGUGAUCGUGGGUGGUCGAGCUUGUCCACCUGACGAACGGUAUCGAACUAAUCUAGGCUUCCGGGCGUUGCCGGACCCGCGCUCCCUCACUGCUAGCGGCAAUAGACUGCUUCAGUUACAGUGAUGCACCCUAGAGACGUUAGAGUCACUCACUAUUGGUGGUAGAGUGAUAGUGGAUAGUGUCGAAUCUUGGCUGGCCGCGCUCAGUAUCAGGCAGGAGAAGAAACGCCACGUGCGCGCUCACAAACGUGACAAUAUAAUAAUUGAACUAUUUUCAAUCUUACAAAACUUAUGUCAUAAUAUAUACUUCGAGUAAUUUUACUAUGUUUUGCGUAGAAUUAUUGUAUUAUAUAUUUCCAUAUCAUAAAACAUUUAAAAAAUAUUAAACAUUUUUUUAUACGUUUGAUAUAUAAAAUUUUUUGAUUUACAUUAUGACUAAGCGUGAAUACGUUUGCAAUUCAACGUGCUUUGCUUUGAUACCAUUCUAGGAAAGUGAUACUCCUCAUCAAUUAAAAUAUUUUUGUAACUACGUAUGCUAAACAAUAUUCACAAAAAGUAUAUUGUAUGUAUUUUCUGAAGCUUGUCGAAAAAUUAAUAAAUAAAGAGUAUUUGUGUUAUUCAUGUAAAAAAGUUAGGAUUUUUGAUUUCAGGUGUGUGUGUGUGUGUGUGUGUGUGUGUGUGUGACCCACAAUCAGUGGACGUCCGUUACUUAUAAUAUGGAUCAAGAGACUUUGAACGUGUUCAGAAGCUUUAUUUUAAAUUUAACCUUAAACGAAGCUUAAUUCAUUCUCCAUUUUUUAUACGAUAUUAAUUAUUGUAUGCUCAGAAUAAGUAAUGGCUAAAAUUUUUAUGUUACUUUAAUAAAAUAUAUAUACAUGUAAUUUAUUGUUAAAACUUUAAUUUUGUUUGUAACAUCCAUUUGUGCAGUAUCACAUCACUCAUAAAUAUAAUGCACCCUCGCUUACGGUGGAAGUAUUAAAUAAACAUGAAAUUAAAAUUUUAUACACAAUACUACAGAAUA
This is a long non-coding RNA of Bombus terrestris (buff-tailed bumblebee), 2181 nucleotides long. RefSeq lists it as uncharacterized. The transcript has 2 exons. The record is from RefSeq and is a predicted model, not a curated record. NCBI's taxonomy places the organism in Eukaryota, Metazoa, Arthropoda, Insecta, Hymenoptera, Apidae.